GAGGAAUGUAUAGCAAUAGCUACUUGUAUCAUUAAUGAUGCAAGCUCGACUAUGUUGAAUAAAGUUCUAGGUAGAAUUAUGAUAAUGACAUUGUCUGCCUAUGUGUCUUGACCAAAUUACGUGCCAGCAGUCGCGGUAAUACGUAGAAGACUAGUGUUAUUCAUGUUUAAUCGGUUUAAAGGGUACCUAGACGGUGAAUCAAGCUUUUAAAUAAAUAAGAAAAGGGACUAAUUCGCUAGAGUUACUUACGAGGGGGUUUUAAAGUACUGCUGGUGUAGAGAUGAAAUUCUGUCAUACCUCUUUUCGAAAGAAGAAUAAUGGCACAGGUAUAGGCGAAGGCAUCCCCUUAUGUGAUAACUGACGUUGAGGGACGAAGGCUUCGUGGAACAAACAGGAUUAGGUACCCUAGUAGUUGAAGCAGAAAAUGAUGAAUGUCAUAGAUUAGACGUCUAAGUUUAUUCUAUAAAUGAAAGUGUAAGCAUUCCACCUCAGGAGUAAUUUGGCAACAUUGGAAUUGAAAUCAUUAGACCGUUUCUGAAACCAG
This 544-nucleotide ribosomal RNA is filed under the name Parmotrema robustum. Its description in RNAcentral is "SSU rRNA". It matches the Rfam family "Bacterial small subunit ribosomal RNA", at positions 356 to 929 of the family's 1533-position model. Lineage: Eukaryota; Fungi; Ascomycota; Lecanoromycetes; Lecanorales; Parmeliaceae. The record is from RNAcentral.